UCAACCUCCCCACAUGCCCGCACGCCCGCCCGCCCUCCCUCCCUCCCUCCCUCCCUCCCUCCCUCCCUCAUAAUCUCAUGUUAAGUAAACCAGGAUCCUGAAGUCCACUUCAAGUGACUCUCAUUCAAGAUGGCCGUACUUCUUCAUUACACAAAGGAAAAACCUCAACCAAUUUCUAAAGACUGGUGACAUCCAGUGAAAACGGUAGGAACUGCAAGAAGGUCCCUUGGAAAUCUGGUUUCCCAAUGAAAAUUCAUUGAAAAGACAGUGACCUCAAAAAAUACAAAUCUGAAUGGUUUGUCCUCUGGGUUUUGCCUGCUACAUAAGUUCUGUUAUACUCAUAGACAUGAUUCAAACAAUUUUAGAAACGUCAGAGUGUUUUCUAUCCAAAUCUACUAAUAAUAUGCAUAUCUUAUAUUCUGGGGAUGAGUAGCCGGCAGUUGAAUUUGGGCACGCUAUUCAUCCAAAAGUGAAAAUUCUACCCCCUAGGUCACCUGGCAGCAAAUUAACAAGGCACACCUGUUAAUUGAAAUGCAUUCCAGGUGACUACCUCAUGAAGCUGGUUGAGAGAAUGCAAGAGUGUACACAGCUGUCAACAAGGCAAAGGGUGGCUACUUUGAAGAAUGUCAAAUAUAAAAUAUUUGUGGACUUGUUUAACACUUUUUUGUUCACUACAUGAGUCCAUAUGUGUUAUUUCAUAGUUUUGAUGUCUUUACUGUUAUUCUACAAUGUAGAAAAUAGUAAAAAAUAAAGGAAAACCCUUGAAUGAG
This is a long non-coding RNA of Oncorhynchus masou masou (cherry salmon), 770 nucleotides long. RefSeq lists it as uncharacterized. The record is from RefSeq and is a predicted model, not a curated record. Lineage: Eukaryota; Metazoa; Chordata; Actinopteri; Salmoniformes; Salmonidae. The transcript has 2 exons.